Molecule: ribosomal RNA, 491 nt
Filed under: uncultured bacterium
Lineage: Bacteria
Description: partial 16S ribosomal RNA
Rfam family: Bacterial small subunit ribosomal RNA
Source: RNAcentral
AGUGAACGCUGGCGGUAGGCCUAACACAUGCAAGUCGAACGGCAGCACAGUAAGAGCUUGCUCUUACGGGUGGCGAGUGGCGGACGGGUGAGGAAUACAUCGGAAUCUACUUUUUCGUGGGGGAUAACGUAGGGAAACUUACGCUAAUACCGCAUACGACCUACGGGCGAAAGCAGGGGAUCUUCGGACCUUGCGCGAUUGAAUGAGCCGAUGUCGGAUUAGCUAGUUGGCGGGGUAAAGGCCCACCAAGGCGACGAUCCGUAGCUGGUCUGAGAGGAUGAUCAGCCACACUGGAACUGAGACACGGUCCAGACUCCUACGGGAGGCAGCAGUGGGGAAUAUUGGACAAUGGGCGCAAGCCUGAUCCAGCCAUACCGCGUGGGUGAAGAAGGCCUUCGGGUUGUAAAGCCCUUUUGUUGGGAAAGAAAAGCAGCAGGUUAAUACCCCGCUGUUCUGACGGUACCCAAAGAAUAAGCACCAGCUAACUUCGU